RNAcentral lists this ribosomal RNA (253 nucleotides) under uncultured bacterium. Its description in RNAcentral is "partial 16S ribosomal RNA". It matches the Rfam family "Bacterial small subunit ribosomal RNA", at positions 524 to 776 of the family's 1533-position model. The record is from RNAcentral.
UACGGAGGGGGCUAGCGUUGUUCGGAAUUACUGGGCGUAAAGCGUACGUAGGCGGCUUUGUAAGUUAGAGGUGAAAGCCCGGAGCUCAACUUCGGAAUAGCCUUUAAGACUGCAUCGCUUGAACGUCGGAGAGGUGAGUGGAAUUCCGAGUGUAGAGGUGAAAUUCGUAGAUAUUCGGAAGAACACCAGUGGCGAAGGCGGCUCACUGGACGACUGUUGACGCUGAGGUACGAAAGCGUGGGGAGCAAACAGG